Molecule: long non-coding RNA, 363 nt
Filed under: Olea europaea (common olive)
Lineage: Eukaryota; Viridiplantae; Streptophyta; Magnoliopsida; Lamiales; Oleaceae
Description: long non-coding RNA (OEUR_LNC008047)
Source: RNAcentral
CGUUUGAUUGCACGAAAUUUUCCAUGGAACUUGGAAUUCGAAUUCCAACUUCCACUUUUGGCCUGUUUGAUUGACAAAAUUUUCCAGGAAAUUGAUUUUCCAUGAAUUUCUAGGUACAACACCUUAAAGCGUGAUUUUCCACCUUUUUUUUCCUAGGGGAUAGGUGGUUUUUGGUUUUCCACCUUUUUUUUUAUUUUUUUAUUUUUGCUUUUUUUAUUUUUUUUUAAUUGUUGGCAAUGGGAACAAAUUUUAGGAAUAAUUGUAAAAGAGGAUAUCCCUGAAAUUGACAAUUUCCACGUAAAACAAAGUCAAACGAACAUCAAAAAAUACUUUUACUUCAACAUUUUCCACGUGAAAAAUUUA